UGGAGUCUGGAUGGGGGGGAACAAAACGCCAUGACGACAAUAAUGCUAAAACGGUGGGAACCAACGGAGGACAGAUGUGUAUUUGGGCCAGGACCUGUGUUCAACUUGGUGAUGAUGAUGAUGAUGAUGAUGAUGAUGAUGAUGGUGAAUGAUGAAAAUGUUGUAUUUGGACAAGGUGUGAACUCUGUAUUAUGUGUGUCCUGCCCUGUCCUGUCCUGCCCUGUCCUUACCUGUUCUGUCCUGUCCAGUCCUGCCCUGUCCUGUCCUGUUUUGUCCUGUCCUACCCUGUCCUGCCCUGUCCAGUCCUGUCCUGUCCUGUCCUACCCUGUCCUGUCCUGCCCUGUCCAGUCCUGUCCUGUUCUGUCCUGUCCUACCCUGUCCUGUCCAGCCCUGUCCAGUCCUGUCCUGUUCUGUCCUGUGCUGCCCUAUCCUGUCCUGCCCUAUCCUGUCCUGUCCUGCCCUGUCCAGUCCUGCCCUGUCCAGUCCUGCCCUGUCUAGUCCUGCCCUGUCCAGUCCUGCCCUGUCCAGUCCUGUCCAGUCCUGCCCUGUCUAGUCCUGCCCUGUCCAGUCCUGCCCUGUCCAGUCCUGUCCAGUCCUGUCCAGUCCUGCCCUGUCUAUUCCUGCCCUGUCCAGUCCUGCCCUGUCCAGUCCAGUCCUGUCCCAUCCUGUCCUUACCUGUUCUGUCCUGCCCUGUCCAGUCCUACCCUGUCCAGUCCUGCCCAGUCCUGUCCAGUCCAGUCCUGUCCUAUCCUGUCCUUACCUGUUCUGUCCUGCCCUGUCCAGUCCUGCCCUGUCCAGUCCUGCCCUGUCUAGUCCAGUCCUGUCCUAUCCUGUCCUAUCCUGUCCUUACCUGUUCUGUCCUGUCCUAUCCUAUCCUGUCCUUACCUGUUCUGUCUGCCCUGUCCAGUCCUCACCUGUCUUGUCCAAUCCUGUCCUAUCCUGUCCUUACCUGUUCUGUCCUGUCCUGCCCUGUCCUGCUCUGUCCAGUCCUCACCUGUCUUGUCCAGUCCUGUC
This 1014-nucleotide long non-coding RNA is filed under the name Oncorhynchus kisutch (coho salmon). RNAcentral's name for it is "lncRNA (ENSOKIG00005018368.1)". The record is from RNAcentral. Lineage: Eukaryota; Metazoa; Chordata; Actinopteri; Salmoniformes; Salmonidae.